CCAAACUUGGUCAUUUAGAGGAAGUAAAAGUCGUAACAAGGUCUCCGUUGGUGAACCAGCGGAGGGAUCAUUAUCGAGUCCCCGACUCCCAAACCCCCUCGCGGACCAUACCAUCAGCGUUGCCUCGGCGGGAGGCCCCGGCGGCCCCCGGGCCCCGGACACCACGGCGCCCGCCCGAGGACCCCCAUAACUCCUGCAUUCUCCAGCGGCCUCCUCUGAGUCGGAAAGGAAGAACGAGUCAAAACUUUCAACAACGGAUCUCUUGGUUCUGGCAUCGAUGAAGAACGCAGC
RNAcentral lists this unclassified non-coding RNA (291 nucleotides) under uncultured fungus. Its description in RNAcentral is "partial contains small subunit ribosomal RNA, internal transcribed spacer 1, and 5.8S ribosomal RNA". The stretch from base 1 to 73 matches the Rfam family "Eukaryotic small subunit ribosomal RNA", at positions 1759 to 1831 of the family's 1831-position model. The record is from RNAcentral. Lineage: Eukaryota; Fungi.